Coffea arabica (coffee) is the source of this 1713-nucleotide non-coding RNA. The record is from RefSeq and is a predicted model, not a curated record. NCBI's taxonomy places the organism in Eukaryota, Viridiplantae, Streptophyta, Magnoliopsida, Gentianales, Rubiaceae.
GCUAGUACUGCAAGCUGCCCGGUUGCUAUCUUUCUAUAUAAAGUCCUCGCACCUUUUCUAACUAAAUGGCUCCUACUAUCUAAUUUAACCAUUUAUUAGCAUCAGUUGAGUAUAUUGCUGCCUACAUCCCUUCCCCCAAUCACACACACACACCCCGCGGGAAAAAGAAAAAAGUGAAAAAAACUUCCAUCCCUUCCCCCAAUCACACACACACACCCCGCGGGAAAAAGAAAAAAGUGAAAAAAACUUCCAUUUCCAACAUUUAUCAUUUGGGCUGUUGAUCAGAUCCACCGAUCGCCCCGUUGACUCUUUCCUUAAUCAACCAUGACUGAGAAGGUGACUACAAUGAAACUCACGGUUGAUCUUCAUUGCCCCAGCUGCUACAAGAAGGUCAAGAAAAUCCUCUGCAAAUUUCCUCGUGAGUCUCUUAUAACUAUCAAUUCUGUCUCUCAUGUUUUCAUUACCAGUAUACCAGUAGUUCUUUAGUGCAAUUACAGUUGGUCGGAGGACAUCCACCGUUCCGCUGACUACGGACAUAGGCAUGUGCACCACCAUGAGUUACAGUUUUUUUUUCCCACUUUUUGGGAUCAUUUUUUGAACAGAAGUUAGGUAGUGUGGCUUAUGAAACUACUGGUGAUCAGUUAGGGGCUUUAUUUUGUACAGACAAGAAUUUGAGUUUUUGUUUUUUUUUUUUGGGGACGCUCAAUUUUUUGGACGAGAGAAAUCCGAGACCAGGUAUAUGAUGAGAAGCAAAAUCUGGUGACCGUCACCGUGGUGUGCUGUAGCCCGGAGAAAAUCCGCGACAAAUUAUGUUGCAAGGGUGGCAAAGUUAUUACUAGCAUUGAGAUCGUGGAGCCCGGGGAGUCCCAGCGGCGGGAAAGCCCGAGCCGUGCUCUCACCCGCCAAUUCCAGUGGUGAUCUGCUGUGUCCUAUGUUCGGAAGGGUACCGAGGGGGACGAUGCUGCUGCAGGAACUGGCGGCCUGUGCCCCCGCACGCGUGCGGGUGCGGGUGCGGAUCCCGGUAUAGUCAUUGUGAUUAUUUCAGUGAGCAGAACACUGCGGACUGUACGAUUAUGUGAGAGGAGAGGAGAGGAGAAUUUGAUAUGGGGUAUGAUAUGCUAUGAAAAGCCCAAGCCGUGCUCGCACCCGCCAAUUCCAGUGGUGGUCUGCUGUGUCCUAUGUUCGGAAGGGCACGGAGGGGGGCCAUGCUGCUGCAGGUGCCGGCGGCCUGAGCCCCCGCCACGCUGUUGUCGCAGUUGUGGACAUGGGUGCGGGUGCGGGUGCCGGUAUAGUCAUUGUGAUUAUUUCAGUGAGGAGAACACUGCGGGCUGUACGAUUUUGUGAGAGGAGAGGAGAAUUUGAUAUGCUAUGAAAAGCAUCCAAAUUAAUCAAUUAAUUUGGUUUGGUGGGCGGUACAUGCAAAUGCAUUGAAGCAAAAUUAGUACUAGUAUUGUGUAGUUAGGGCCUUAGGCCCUCAUGGGACCUAUAAUAUAAAAGGAAGAAGAAAAUAAAAAGUUACUGUGUAUGCGAUUAUGGAGUGUAUAUAUAUAUAUAUAUAUAGACGUACGUGUGGGGAUUUAUUCAAGUUGGAAGUCACUUAGAAUAAACUUUUGUAUGUAUCUGAUGAAUAAGUUUUCUUAAGUGUCAAGUAAACUUUUGUAAAGAUGUUUGAGCCGUUGUCCAAAUAUUAUCAAUAAAAAUUUUCUAUCAUUU